CACCGGGAGUGUUUAAUCUAAAAGAAAGUUGGUGAUCGGAGAAGGAGAAAGGGCUAGAAUUUUAGUGAGAAGUUUGAAGGUUUAGAGAGAAGGAGGAGAAAAUGAGAAUUUUGGAGGUUGAAGACGAAGUGGGCAUGUAGAAAGUGGUGCCAAAUUUUGAAAAUCAACUUUAAAUAUGGCCACCAACUUGGUCGUUUGGUCCACUCG
Molecule: long non-coding RNA, 207 nt
Filed under: Vigna radiata
Lineage: Eukaryota; Viridiplantae; Streptophyta; Magnoliopsida; Fabales; Fabaceae
Description: long non-coding RNA (VRAD_LNC012697)
Source: RNAcentral